Molecule: unclassified non-coding RNA, 262 nt
Filed under: uncultured fungus
Lineage: Eukaryota; Fungi
Description: sequence contains ITS1, 5.8S rRNA gene
Rfam family: 5.8S ribosomal RNA (bases 214-262)
Source: RNAcentral
UUUCCGUAGGUGAACCUGCGGAAGGAUCAUUAAUGAAUAUUAGGGCGCCUUUACUUUACUGUAUCGGGCCUGACCUCCAUUAUUCACACUUGUGCACCAAAAUCUAAAUGUUGCAGUGCGAAACGAGAGAGUAAUCUCUCACAGUAGUACUUGCUUCAUUUUUAUUACUAUUAAACUCUAAGUCAAUGAAUGUAACAAACCAUAACAAAAUAAAACUUUCAACAACGGAUCUCUUGGCUCUCGCAUCGAUGAAGAACGCAGC